UAUAAUUAAUUAAUUAUCUUUGAAGUGUUGUUUUUAUUCCGCUAUUCUAUUAUCAGAGAGAGCAUCAGAAGUGUUCCGGUUGCACUCAUAAAAUUAAAAAGCUUAAUGAAAUCCAAUAUUGGAAACUAAUUAAAACAAUAAUUAAAAUGAUGCACGGUCAAUUUACAAACGUUCUAUGGUACUUGGAAUUCUUUGCUUUUGUGGGAGCCUUAUCAGUUUUUUUCUGCUUCAUAUUUUAUUUGGCAAAAAUUAAUUACGUGACAUAUAAUAUCCAGUACGAUAUGCGGCAAAAGUACAUGGCUGAUGAUACCUGGUUGAUUCAAAGUUAGUACAAUGCUGAGCCCGGAAACGAAAGUUAACAUUUUACUACAUCAAAAGCUGGCAGCGAGACCCAAAACUAAGAUAAAAGAACCUCCACAGAGACCAGUGUGCUGUGACCUUGGCUGCAUUUGGUUCUUUCGUCUGAUGGGCAGCAUUAUAACUAUAGCCUUAUGCUAUUACUUCGCUUACACUUUCAUAUCUGACACUAAACUUAA
Long non-coding RNA from Pieris rapae (cabbage white), 536 nucleotides. RefSeq lists it as uncharacterized. The transcript has 3 exons. NCBI's taxonomy places the organism in Eukaryota, Metazoa, Arthropoda, Insecta, Lepidoptera, Pieridae. The record is from RefSeq and is a predicted model, not a curated record.